This 479-nucleotide ribosomal RNA is filed under the name uncultured bacterium. Its description in RNAcentral is "bacterial SSU rRNA". It matches the Rfam family "Bacterial small subunit ribosomal RNA", at positions 328 to 793 of the family's 1533-position model. The record is from RNAcentral.
CGCUAUCACUCCUACGGGGAGGCAGCAGUCGGGGGAAUAUUGCACAAUGGGCGCAAGCCUGAUGCAGCCAUGCCGCGUGUGUGAAGAAGGCCUUCGGGUUGUAAAGCACUUUCAGUCGUGAGGAAGGUAGUGUAGUUAAUAGCUGCAUUAUUUGACGUUAGCGACAGAAGAAGCACCGGCUAACUCCGUGCCAGCAGCCGCGGUAAUACGGAGGGUGCGAGCGUUAAUCGGAAUUACUGGGCGUAAAGCGCAUGCAGGUGGUUUGUUAAGUCAGAUGUGAAAGACCCGGGGCUCAACCUCGGAAUAGCAUUUGAAACUGGCAGACUAGAGUACUGUAGAGGGGGGUAGGAAUUUCAGGUGUAGCGGUGAAAUGCGUAGAGAUCUGAAGGAAUACCGGUGGCGAAGGCGGCCCCCUCGGACAGAUACUGACACUCAGAUGCGAAAGCGUGGGGAGCAAACAGGAUUAGAUACCCUGGUAG